This 72-nucleotide transfer RNA is filed under the name Camelus dromedarius (Arabian camel). It matches the Rfam family "tRNA". From Rfam's summary of the family: Transfer RNA (tRNA) molecules are approximately 80 nucleotides in length. Their secondary structure includes four short double-helical elements and three loops (D, anti-codon, and T loops). RNAcentral also lists the same sequence under 1 other name. Lineage: Eukaryota; Metazoa; Chordata; Mammalia; Artiodactyla; Camelidae. The record is from Rfam by way of RNAcentral.
GAGGGUAUAGCUCAGUGGUAGAGCGCAUGCCUAGCAUGCAUGAGGUCCUGGGUUCAAUUCCCAGUGCCUCUG